ACAAUUCCUGACGAAGGUGUAUAUGUUCGUCUCUCUGAAGAAUAGAUAUGAGAAGAAGAUAGGUUAAUUCUAGGCUUUGUUCUUUUAAUCCUUAUUGAGAAACCUAGCCCUAAUCUUUUUCUCCUCUUUUCUCUUUAACCUUGCGUCGAUCUCAAACUCCGUAAAGAAGUAGUUGUUUCAAGGAGGAUUAAUCAAUAGCUGGUUCUAAUGGGGAUUGUCGAAUCCAGAAUCUGAUGUAUCUGACCGUAAUAGUGUUGAGAAAUCUGUUUACUUCUUCAUCGAAAUUUCAGAUGAAACUGAAGAGGGAAUCAGAGCGGAAAUUGAUAUGGGUUUGUCGAGAUAAGGGUUAUUGAGAACUGAUAUUGAUGAUUAAGUCAAAAUAAUUGAAAAUUUUCAGAAUCUAAGGUUUGAUUUUGGGAAGAGCAGCUGAGGCUGUGUCUGAAUCGGUAAGAAUGAGAAUGGGUUAACUGAAGAUGGGGGUUUGAGAGUUCUUGGAUGAUGAUAAGAGUUGGGUUGAGCUCGAUUUUCAACCAGAUGAAGAAAUCAAUCGAGAAAAAAUAUUCCAUGUUCAAAUAUUUCUCUAUUUUUUUCCCUAUCAAUUUCAAUUGAAUUUCGAUUUCAGAAUUACUUAUACAUUCAAAAUUCAUGUGUUUUAUAGGUUUGUCGUGGUGAAGAUACCAUUAUUAUUAUGCAUCUUCGAAGGUUUUUGAUGGUUAUUGAUGUCUAAUAGACAAAGGCACAGUUGGCCGAUUAGUAAAACAUUGUUGGAUGCAAGCCUAUGGAGUAAAUUUAACGAGAUGGCGGGGUUAUUGUUUAUGAUAUGUUAAGGGGGUGAUUUAAGAUGUGAAGUCGAAUAAGAAAGGAGAUGAAGAGGAUUACCAGAAAAAGUAAUCAGUGUUCCAUCAUUUUCGCCUCCAGUUUAUCUUGCGUCCAAGCACAAAUUGAUCAUUAGUAUCAAACAGAGUCAAAGCGAAAUAUUUACCAUCUGCUAUAUAAAUGUUAACCAUAUCUGGGGAGAUAACAAAGUUUGAUAACCACAUCGGCAUUUAUAAGUUUAUUCAAGACCUGCACUUUUUUGUUCCCAGUGGUGACAAUGAGAAUGAACUUAAAUUAGCCACUAAAUUUCGAGUAUUCCGUAAUGUAGUUGCACUCCUUCUCAGGGAUUGAUGGGUGAUUUGACAACCAUUAAAGUGACCAUAAUCAUUUGAUGAAGAUGAAUUUUCAAGCAAACCUGUUAUAUGUACAGAAACUGAAUGCCGCUCAAUUAGUUCCACAAUAAACGCUUCAGCUGGAUAUCGGUGCCGGAGAGGGCUCAGUUGGACGUGUUUAUCAAUAUCAAUUUAAUGACGAGAAGCCAAAAAUUAUGCAAUUGGCGAAUGUGUCAAAUUUGUUUGCAUUAAAAUGCAAGAGCAUGGGUAAAUAAUGCAGGCAUUUGUAGUAGUCGAGGAUCGACCAAGCGUUCUCAAAAAGAAGGAAACACAAUAAAGGUAUCUUGCGAUAAUUGGAGAAUAACGAUAUAGCUAAAAGUAAUGAUGCCAGGUGUUUUUGGAGAAAUACACUUGUGUGGAAAAAGUUGCUCAAAAAGUGCUAUUUGGACUCCCGAAGAAAAGUACUAAAGGUACCCUCAAUUUGGAUAAGGGGCACCACAGUUGGGCACCUGCUAUUCGCACCCCCAAUUUGGUUAGGGGGACACCAUCUUCUACCUUUCAAAUCUGUUUUUGGCGGGAAAAUCUGAUUUCAAAGAACCAGAAUUAGGUUUGGCAGUUUUGACGAGAAUGAAGGAGACUCAACGACUGGGAAUUGUUGGGAUGACUUGAAUGGUGGUAACAGGCGUGGUAUGGUCGAUUUCGUCAGCUAUAUUUGGCUAGAUUCUCGGUGAGAAGAAAACAGGGGAGUGCGUAGUUGAGAAGAGUUUUUCACGGGAUUGCACGUGUUUUCUGUGCAUGGCGUAAGAUGGAUGUGUGUUUAACUACUUCUGGGACGUGUUUCAGACUAAUUGGAGUGUGUCAGAUGUGCAAAGACGCGUGAUGAUUCAAAACAGGGAAGAAAUCUUCGUAUCUUGCAUGGGAAUAUUUUUUAUUAACUGCCGGGAAUUAUUUGGAGUUAUGAGAACAUAUUCUCGGUCGGAAUGGGUAUAUAUAGGCUGCUAGCACCACAUAGAUAGGGUGUCGAGUUUUACCAAACUCGGUUUCUGUUGCUGCUGCUUAUGAACAUGAAGAACACGAAGAACGGACCUGCACCAGCAGUCGUUUUUCUACAGUAAUAAUGACUCACACCUGUGCGUCGUAUAUCAUGCAGACUUAUUUGCUACAGCGUUUGCAACACAGCUGCAUCAGUAUUAUUUUGUCACUGAGGGUCGUAGUUCUCUGGUUUUUAACAAAUAUAAUUGUUACAAACCCGGUUUUAUUGUAUUUCUCAUAUUCUCAUCAUUUGUAAACCAUUUUUGAGCAUCAAUGAAAUUCUUUGAGAGGUUUUCCAACA
Molecule: long non-coding RNA, 2481 nt
Organism: Papaver somniferum (opium poppy)
Lineage: Eukaryota; Viridiplantae; Streptophyta; Magnoliopsida; Ranunculales; Papaveraceae
Exons: 9
Source: RefSeq, a predicted model, not a curated record